This is a long non-coding RNA of Panicum virgatum (switchgrass), 820 nucleotides long. RefSeq lists it as uncharacterized. NCBI's taxonomy places the organism in Eukaryota, Viridiplantae, Streptophyta, Magnoliopsida, Poales, Poaceae. The record is from RefSeq and is a predicted model, not a curated record. The transcript is spliced from 2 exons.
GUCUCUCACUCACUCCCUGCACACAUGCAUGCACACGCCACACACAUUUCCCUCUCACACGUCUCUUUCACACCUACAUGCAUGCAUGAUGCAUGUGCACCUCUCUCUUUGCACACUCACGCAGAAACAAGAGCAGCACGCCUCACCCUUCCUCUCUCCACUCAAUCACUCUUCUUUGCUCCUCCCCAGCGCAAGUAGCUGCAGCACUAAAGCCAAGAAAAACCAGAGCCCUGUUCCUUCCUGACGACGACCCACCGCUGCAAGCUCAGCUUCAACAACGACGCUGCCAACCAUGGCCUUGCUCACCGCCGCGACGUCAAGACGACGCCGCCGAGCUGAAGCCGCUGCCGGGAGCAACGACGACGUUGAGGACCGCGAGCAUGAGGAAGCCGAGCCGGAGAUCGACGCCGAUGCCGCGAGCCGGAGAACAACGCCAAAGCCGAACAGCAAACAUGCCGUCACUGCAUCACCACACCACGGCCUCACUUUGCUCCUUGUCUCGCCUUGACCUCCGACGAGCCCUAUGUCGCCGAGAGUUCGCAAAUGACGACGAGAAGAAGCCUGGAGUCUGGUGCCGCGAGUUAGGAAGUUCGUACCGCAAGCAGAAGCCCGGAGUACGUACCGCGAGCACGAGGACUAGUACCGCGAGAUGAAAAUCGAAACGCGUACCGCGAGUUGAACUACCCGUUUGUUGAGCGAAGGCAAGUCCAACAUUUUCCCUUUUGAUCAUGCUUAUCCCAGUUUUUAAAGUGCAUUCAAUUUGUAUAUGAAACCUUGAACUAUUUUACUGCUUGAUGUAGUUAAAUACCCAUUUGAAAGG